AAAAGUGAAGACAGUAUGACUACAACAACUGUCACCUCAUUGAUUGACAGGGCUGAUCGUUGAUCUGGCCAGUCAGUUGUGUCCCUUCCUCCCUCACUACACCAUGUAUGUCCCUGCAAAAGCUGCACACUCAACCUCCCCCAAACAGAGAAAAAUCACUUUNGGCCAAGGGUGUACAAGUCCCUGCAUUCCCCUGUUGGAUCCAAACAAGAUGUCAAAACAGAGAGUAGAAAAUCUUCUUGGCUUAACAUAUAUUUACAAAGUCUGACCCUGU
Molecule: small nuclear RNA, 274 nt
Filed under: Neotoma lepida (desert woodrat)
Lineage: Eukaryota; Metazoa; Chordata; Mammalia; Rodentia; Cricetidae
Description: 7SK RNA
Rfam family: 7SK RNA
About the family: 7SK was discovered as an abundant small nuclear RNA in the mid-70s but a possible function has only recently been suggested.
Source: Rfam by way of RNAcentral